AGGAUGAACGCUGGCGGCGUGCUUAACACAUGCAAGUCGAACGAAGCACUUGAAACAGAUUCUUCGGAUGAAGUUUCCUGUGACUGAGUGGCGGACGGGUGAGUAACGCGUGGGUAACCUGCCUCAUACAGGGGGAUAACAGUUAGAAAUGGCUGCUAAUACCGCAUAAGACCACAGCACCGCAUGGUGCAGGGGUAAAAACUCCGGUGGUACAGGAUGGACCCGCGUCUGAUUAGCUGGUUGGUGAGGUAACGGCUCACCAAGGCGACGAUCAGUAGCCGGCUUGAGAGAGUGAACGGCCACAUUGGGACUGAGACACGGCCCAAACUCCUACGGGAGGCAGCAGUGGGGAAUAUUGCACAAUGGGGGAAACCCUGACCGAGCAACGCCGCGUGAAGGAAGAAGUAAUUCGUUAUGUAAACUUCUGUCAUAGAGGAAGAACGGUGGAUAUAGGGAAUGAUAUCCAAGUGACGGUACUCUAUAAGAAAGCCACGGCUAACUACGUGCCAGCAGCCGCGGUAAUACGUAGGUGGCGAGCGUUAUCCGGAAUUAUUGGGCGUAAAGAGGGAGCAGGCGGCACUAAGGGUCUGUGGUGAAAGAUCGAAGCUUAACUUCGGUAAGCCAUGGAAACCGUAGAGCUAGAGUGUGUGAGAGGAUCGUGGAAUUCCAUGUGUAGCGGUGAAAUGCGUAGAUAUAUGGAGGAACACCAGUGGCGAAGGCGACGAUCUGGCGCAUAACUGACGCUCAGUCCCGAAAGCGUGGGGAGCAAAUAGGAUUAGAUACCCUAGUAGUCCACGCCGUAAACGAUGAGUACUAAGUGUUGGGGGUCAAACCUCAGUGCUGCAGUUAACGCAAUAAGUACUCCGCCUGAGUAGUACGUUCGCAAGAAUGAAACUCAAAGGAAUUGACGGGGGCCCGCACAAGCGGUGGAGCAUGUGGUUUAAUUCGAAGCAACGCGAAGAACCUUACCAGGUCUUGACAUCGAUCUAAAGGCUCCAGAGAUGGAGAGAUAGCUAUAGAGAAGACAGGUGGUGCAUGGUUGUCGUCAGCUCGUGUCGUGAGAUGUUGGGUUAAGUCCCGCAACGAGCGCAACCCCUGUUGCCAGUUGCCAGCAUUAAGUUGGGGACUCUGGCGAGACUGCCGGUGACAAGCCGGAGGAAGGCGGGGAUGACGUCAAAUCAUCAUGCCCCUUAUGACCUGGGCUACACACGUGCUACAAUGGCGUAAACAGAGGGAAGCAGCCUCGUGAGAAAGAGCAAAUCCCAAAAAUAACGUCUCAGUUCGGAUUGUAGUCUGCAACUCGACUACAUGAAGC
Molecule: ribosomal RNA, 1315 nt
Filed under: uncultured bacterium
Lineage: Bacteria
Description: bacterial SSU rRNA
Rfam family: Bacterial small subunit ribosomal RNA
Source: RNAcentral